UACGUAGGGUGCAAGCGUUGUCCGGAAUUAUUGGGCGUAAAGAGCUCGUAGGCGGUCUGUCGCGUCGGCUGUGAAAUCCCGAGGCUCAACCCCGGGCCUGCAUUCGAUACGGGCAGACUAGAGUUCGGCAGGGGAGACUGGAAUUCCUGGUGUAGCGGUGAAAUGCGCAGAUAUCAGGAGGAACACCGGUGGCGAAGGCGGGUCUCUGGGCAGUAACUGACGCUGAGGAGCGAAAAGCGUGGGGAGCGAACAGG
RNAcentral lists this ribosomal RNA (254 nucleotides) under uncultured bacterium. RNAcentral describes it as "partial 16S ribosomal RNA". It matches the Rfam family "Bacterial small subunit ribosomal RNA", at positions 524 to 776 of the family's 1533-position model. The record is from RNAcentral.